CCUACGGGUGGCUGCAGUGGGGAAUCUUAGACAAUGGGGGAAACCCUGAUCUAGCCAUGCCGCGUGAUCGAUGAAGGCCUUAGGGUUGUAAAGAUCUUUCAGGUGGGAAGAUAAUGACUGUACCACCAGAAGAAGCCCCGGCUAACUCCGUGCCAGCAGCCGCGGUAAUACGGAGGGGGCUAGCGUUAUUCGGAAUUACUGGGCGUAAAGCGCACGUAGGCGGACUGGAAAGUCAGAGGUGAAAUCCCAGGGCUCAACCUUGGAACUGCCUUUGAAACUCUCAGUCUUGAGGUCGAGAGAGGUGAGUGGAAUUCCGAGUGUAGAGGUGAAAGUCGUAGAUAUUCGGAGGAACACCAGUGGCGAAGGCGGCUCACUGGCUCGAUACUGACGCUGAGGUGCGAAAGCGUGGGGAGCAAACAGGAUUAGAUACCCUAGUAGUC
Molecule: ribosomal RNA, 440 nt
Filed under: uncultured bacterium
Lineage: Bacteria
Description: partial 16S ribosomal RNA
Rfam family: Bacterial small subunit ribosomal RNA
Source: RNAcentral